GACGAACGCUGGCGGCGUGCUUAACACAUGCAAGUCGAACGGAAAGGCCCUGCUUUUGUGGGGUGCUCGAGUGGCGAACGGGUGAGUAACACGUGAGUAACCUGCCCUUGACUUUGGGAUAACUUCAGGAAACUGGGGCUAAUACCGGAUAGGAGCUCCUUCUGCAUGGUGGGUGUUGGAAAGUUUCGGCGGUUGGGGAUGGACUCGCGGCUUAUCAGCUUGUUGGUGGGGUAGUGGCUUACCAAGGCUUUGACGGGUAGCCGGCCUGAGAGGGUGACCGGCCACAUUGGGACUGAGAUACGGCCCAGACUCAUACGGGAGGCAGCAGUGGGGAAUAUUGCACAAUGGGCGGAAGCCUGAUGCAGCAACGCCGCGUGCGGGAUGACGGCUUUCGGGUUGUAACCCGCUUUCGCCUGUGACGAAGCGUGAGUGACGGUAAUGGGUAAAGAAGCAACGGCUAACUACGUG
Molecule: ribosomal RNA, 468 nt
Filed under: uncultured bacterium
Lineage: Bacteria
Description: partial 16S ribosomal RNA
Rfam family: Bacterial small subunit ribosomal RNA
Source: RNAcentral